Long non-coding RNA from Zingiber officinale, 787 nucleotides. RefSeq lists it as uncharacterized. Lineage: Eukaryota; Viridiplantae; Streptophyta; Magnoliopsida; Zingiberales; Zingiberaceae. The transcript has 3 exons. The record is from RefSeq and is a predicted model, not a curated record.
UGCUUUUUCUUUCUCCCCGACGCCAUUUCCUCGCGCCUGAGCCGAAGUUGAUUGUCUUCUUCUUCCCCCAUCUUCUGCCCUAAUCGCUCGGCGACGGUUGCUUCUCCCUCCGGUACAAAAGCCAUGGCCAAGGAAGCCCCAAGCCACCUCCCGAUCCUUCCUCUUCCUCUACUUCUUUCCCCCUUCUGAUUUGUGCGCCGACACCGACCACCGUGCCCUAGAUCGGCUUCUGCACAGCACUGUCGACAUCACCGCUGAGCCCAAGCUUCUGUACCCGACGUCGGUAGAGGACUUGCCGCACUGACCUUUGCCAGAGAAGGCCGGGACUUUCCUCUGCCCCAGUGUUGACGCCGACGCCGACCUCCCCUCUGCCCUAAUCUUACCGGCCGGUCUCACCAGGAGUCGGUUGAUGCGUCGGCUGCCCACAGACCUCGCUGAGCAGAACCCUAGCCGACGAUCCAACAUCGGUGAUCUGCCCUUGCCAAGCCUAGUUGAUCUGGCCGCAAUCACCACCAGUUGUCAAUUGACCCUCUUCCAUCUACUUCCCAUGCCUUAGUUUCUUGGUGCUGAGUCUUUCUUCCUGCGUCACAGCAACAUCCGGAAUGCAUCAGAGAGGAAGCUCGAGUUUGAAUUCGGCUCUGGCGAGGAGAUUAGCCAUUCGUGGAUAGCCGCUGCCACCAGAUCCUUUGCUCCGACUGUGGAUCAUCGGCUAAGGUUUCAGAGUUGGGACUUUGAUUCGAGACGAGUAUCUCGACGUUGGAUUUGACUGGAUUGGACCUGCUAUUUA